This 260-nucleotide ribosomal RNA is filed under the name uncultured bacterium. RNAcentral's name for it is "partial 16S ribosomal RNA". It matches the Rfam family "Bacterial small subunit ribosomal RNA", at positions 524 to 778 of the family's 1533-position model. The record is from RNAcentral.
UACGUAGGUGACAAGCGUUGUCCGGAUUUACUGGGCGUAAAGAGCGCGCAGGCGGUCGUUCAAGUCGAGUGUGAAAGCCCCCCGGCUCAACUGGGGAGGGUCACGCGAUACUGGUCGACUCGAAGGCAGGAGAGGGUAGUGGAAUUCUCGGUGUAGCGGUGAAAAUGCGUAGAUAUCGAGAGGAACACCUGCGGCGAAGGCGGGGUUGCUGGGCUGAUACUGACGCUGAGGCGCGAAAAGCCAGGGGGAGCGAAACGGGG